This 468-nucleotide ribosomal RNA is filed under the name uncultured bacterium. RNAcentral's name for it is "partial 16S ribosomal RNA". It matches the Rfam family "Bacterial small subunit ribosomal RNA", at positions 28 to 507 of the family's 1533-position model. The record is from RNAcentral.
GACGAACGCUGGCGGCGUGCUUAACACAUGCAAGUCGAACGGAAAGGCCCUGCUUUUGUUGUUUGCUCGAUUGGCGAACGGGUGAGUAACACGUGUGUAACCUGCCCUUUACUUUGGGAUAACUUCAGGAAACUUGGGCUCAUACCCGAUAUGAGCUCCUGCUUCGUGGUGGGGGUUGGUAAGUUUCGGCGGUUGGGGUUGGACUCGCGGCUUAUCAGCUUGUUUGUGGUGUAUUGGCUGACCAAGGCUUUGACGGGUAGCCGGCCUGAGCGGGUGACCGGCGACAAUGGGACUGAGAGACGGACCAGAAGCGUAUGGGAGGCAGUAGAGGGGAAUAUUGCAGAAUGAGGGGGAGCGAGAUGCAGAAGCGCCGGGGGCGGGAAGACGGGCUGCGGGGUGAAAACCGCUAUCGCAGGAAAUGAAGCGAGAGUGACGGUAAUGGGUAAAGAAGCACCGGCUAACUACGUG